CAGCAGCCACGGUAAUGCGAAGGGUGCAAGCGUUAAUCGGAAUUACUGGGCGUAAAGCGUGCGUAGGCGGUUUGUUAAGUCUGUUGUGAAAGCCCUGGGCUCAACCUGGGAAUUGCAUUUGUGACUGGCAAGCUAGAGUGUGGCAGAGGGGGGUGGAAUUCCGCGUGUAGCAGUGAAAUGCGCAGAUAUGCGGAGGAACACCGAUGGCGAAGGCAGCCCCCUGGGCCAACACUGACGCUCAUGCACGAAAGCGUGGGGAGCAAACAGGAUUAGAUACCCGCGUAGUCCCUGUCUCUUAUAC
Molecule: ribosomal RNA, 301 nt
Filed under: uncultured bacterium
Lineage: Bacteria
Description: partial 16S ribosomal RNA
Rfam family: Bacterial small subunit ribosomal RNA
Source: RNAcentral